GCACAACGCGAAGAACCUUACCCACCUUUGACAUGUACGGAAUCCUUUAGAGAUAGAGGAGUGCUCGAAAGAGAGCCGUAACACAGGUGCUGCAUGGCUGUCGUCAGCUCGUGUCGUGAGAUGUUGGGUUAAGUCCCGCAACGAGCGCAACCCUUGCCAUUAGUUGCUACAUUUAGUUGAGCACUCUAAUGGGACUGCCGGUGACAAACCGGAGGAAGGUGGGGAUGACGUCAAGUCCUCAUGGCCCUUAUAGGUGGGGCUACACACGUCAUACAAUGGCUGGUACAAAGGGUUGCCAACCCGCGAGGGGGAGCUAAUCCCAUAAAGCCAGUCGUAGUCCGGAUCGCAGUCUGCAACUCGACUGCGUGAAGUCGGAAUCGCUAGUAAUCGUGGAUCAGAAUGUCACGGUGAAUACGUUCCCGGGUCUUGUACACACCG
This 438-nucleotide ribosomal RNA is filed under the name uncultured bacterium. RNAcentral's name for it is "bacterial SSU rRNA". It matches the Rfam family "Bacterial small subunit ribosomal RNA", at positions 954 to 1392 of the family's 1533-position model. The record is from RNAcentral.